This 301-nucleotide ribosomal RNA is filed under the name uncultured bacterium. RNAcentral's name for it is "partial 16S ribosomal RNA". It matches the Rfam family "Bacterial small subunit ribosomal RNA", at positions 509 to 807 of the family's 1533-position model. The record is from RNAcentral.
CAGUAGCCGCGGUAAUACGAAGGGUGCAAGCGUUAAUCGGAAUUACUGGGCGUAAAGCGUGCGUAGGCGGUUUGUUAAGUCUGCUGUGAAAUCCCCGGGCUCAACCUGGGAAUGGCAGUGGAUACUGGCAAGCUAGAGUGUGUUAGAGGAUGGUGGAAUUCCCGGUGUAGCGGUGAAAUGCGUAGAGAUCGGGAGGAACAUCAGUGGCGAAGGCGGCCAUCUGGGACAACACUGACGCUGAGGCACGAAAGCGUGGGGAGCAAACAGGAUUAGAUACCCCUGUAGUCCCUGUCUCUUAUAC